RNAcentral lists this ribosomal RNA (389 nucleotides) under uncultured bacterium. RNAcentral describes it as "bacterial SSU rRNA". It matches the Rfam family "Bacterial small subunit ribosomal RNA", at positions 29 to 407 of the family's 1533-position model. The record is from RNAcentral.
AGCGAACGCUGGCGGCGUGCUUAACACAUGCAAGUCGAACGUGAAAUGUAGCAAUACAGAGUAAAGUGGCGUACGGUGAGUAACACGUGGGUAAUCUACCAAAGUGUCUGGAAUAACCGAUCGAAAGGUUGGCUAAAUACUGGAUAGUUCAAGCUUGUUAUAAUGGCAAGAUUGGGAAAGGGAGCUGGCAACAGCCUUCGCAUUUUGAUGAGCUCGCGUCUGAUUAGCUAGUUGGUAAGGUAAUGGCUUACCAAGGCUGAGAUCAGUAGCUGGUCUGAGAGGAUGAUCAGCCACACUGGAACUGAAACACGGUCCAGACUCCUACGGGAGGCAGCAGUGGGAAUCUUGCGCAAUGGACGAAAGUCUGACGCAGCCACGCCGCGUGAGUG